RNAcentral lists this transfer RNA (73 nucleotides) under Ailuropoda melanoleuca (giant panda). It matches the Rfam family "tRNA". From Rfam's summary of the family: Transfer RNA (tRNA) molecules are approximately 80 nucleotides in length. Their secondary structure includes four short double-helical elements and three loops (D, anti-codon, and T loops). Further hydrogen bonds mediate the characteristic L-shaped molecular structure. tRNAs have two regions of fundamental functional importance: the anti-codon, which is responsible for specific mRNA codon recognition, and the 3' end, to which the tRNAs corresponding amino acid is attached (by aminoacyl-tRNA synthetases). tRNAs cope with the degeneracy of the genetic code in two manners: having more than one tRNA (with a specific anti-codon) for a particular amino acid; and 'wobble' base-pairing, i.e. permitting non-standard base-pairing at the 3rd anti-codon position. Lineage: Eukaryota; Metazoa; Chordata; Mammalia; Carnivora; Ursidae. The record is from Rfam by way of RNAcentral.
GCCUAGCUGGCUCUGUCGGUGGAGCGGGUGAUUCUUGAUCUCAGGGUCGUGAGUUCAAGCCCCAUGUUAGACA